ACGAACGCUGGCGGCGUGCUUAACACAUGCAAGUCGAACGGAAAGGCCCUGCUUUUGUGGGGUGCUCGAGUGGCGAACGGGUGAGUAACACGUGAGUAACCUGCCCUUGACUUUGGGAUAACUUCAGGAAACUGGGGCUAAUACCGGAUAGGAGCUCCUGCUGCAUGGGGGGGGUUGGAAAGUUUCGGCGGUUGGGGAUGGACUCGCGGCUUAUCAGCUUGUUGGUGGGGUAGUGGCUUACCAAGGCUUUGACGGGUAGCCGGCCUGAGAGGGGGACCGGCCACAUUGGGACUGAGAUACGGCCCAGACUCCUACGGGAGGCAGCAGUGGGGAAUAUUGCACAAUGGGCGGAAGCCUGAUGCAGCAACGCCGCGUGCGGGAUGACGGCCUUCGGGUUGUAAACCGCUUUCGCCUGUGACGAAGCGUGAGUGACGGUAAUGGGUAAAGAAGCACCGGCUAACUACGUG
RNAcentral lists this ribosomal RNA (467 nucleotides) under uncultured bacterium. RNAcentral's name for it is "partial 16S ribosomal RNA". It matches the Rfam family "Bacterial small subunit ribosomal RNA", at positions 29 to 507 of the family's 1533-position model. The record is from RNAcentral.